AACCCCGACUGUUCACCAAAGACAUUACUUCUAGCAUGAAUACUGUUAGAGGCACUGCCUGCCCAGUAACAUAUAUUUAACGGUGGAAGUAUCCUGACCUUGCAAAGGUAGCAUAAUCACUUGUUCCUUAAAUAGGGACUUGUAUGAAUGGUAUGACAUGGUUU
This 164-nucleotide non-coding RNA is filed under the name Ictidomys tridecemlineatus (thirteen-lined ground squirrel). Lineage: Eukaryota; Metazoa; Chordata; Mammalia; Rodentia; Sciuridae. The record is from Rfam by way of RNAcentral.